Lonchura striata (white-rumped munia) is the source of this 778-nucleotide non-coding RNA. Lineage: Eukaryota; Metazoa; Chordata; Aves; Passeriformes; Estrildidae. The record is from RefSeq and is a predicted model, not a curated record.
GCCGCGGGGCUGGCUGCGGGCGGGCGCUGGUCCCGGCGCCCAGCGACUCCCGCCGGCGGCCGCCCCCGCUCUGCCCUUCUCCGUGCCCCGUGCGCUUCGGGCUCUGCAGUAACCGGGUUAUAAAUAAACACCGUAAAGCCCCCGCUGCUUACACGUCGGAGGGUUGUGUUUCCAAAUUGUUGGGCUUUGUUUAGAAACAUUUCAGGCUCUUCUGUUCUGCUGGCUUCCUUUGGUAGAGCUUACUAUGACAGAGAAGAAGAGGACUAGACACCCUUGUAAAAGAGGCUUGGGAUAAUUACACAUAACACAGGUUUCAAGACACAAGCUGUCAGAACAUACUGGAAUGUUUGGUGUCUGUGAAAGAUGACUGCCAGGAAGUACCUGCCUAUCCUACACUGGUAAAUAACCAUAAUUGCCUACUGUGCUUUCAGCAGCCAAAAGCUGAAUUGGCUAUAGAAAUAUCUGAUGAAGAUUCUUGGAACAAAGGCUGAGAUCUGCUCUGGCAAUGGCUUCAGCCACCACCAUCCCAGAAGAGAUGCUACAAAUCAAUUUCAGCACCAGGAUAUGAAAUCUUAUUAGUAAUUAUGUUCCCUUCUCCCAGGAAGAGACCUGCCCUUGAAAGUCUUCAGCACACCACCAAAGGAGCAUCUGUCCGGCUAAGCAUCUUUCUGGACUCUUCUGCUUUGCAGCAGACUACCACACCAAAUUAUUUUUGAGGCAUGUAAAAGCCUUAUUCAGGCAUAUUUCAACCUUAUAAAAUAAAACUCAUCUGAAAUAA